RNAcentral lists this ribosomal RNA (343 nucleotides) under uncultured soil bacterium. RNAcentral's name for it is "bacterial SSU rRNA". It matches the Rfam family "Bacterial small subunit ribosomal RNA", at positions 26 to 346 of the family's 1533-position model. The record is from RNAcentral.
AGGACGAACGCUGGCGGCGUGCUUAACACAUGCAAGUCGAGCGGUAAGGCCUUUCGGGGUACACGAGCGGCGAACGGGUGAGUAACACGUGGGUGAUCUGCCUUGCACUCUGGGAUAAGCCUGGGAAACUGGGUCUAAUACCGGAUAUGACCUGCUCUCGCAGUGGGGGGUUGGGUGGAAAAGAUUUAGUCGGUGACGAGGAGUCGGGGCCCGGCGGCCUAUCAGUCUUGGUUGGGUAGGGUAAUGGCCUACCGAAGGCGACGACGGGUACGCCGGACCUGGAGGAGGGUCGGACCGGACCGACACGUGGGACGUGAAGACGACCGGACCGACGACCUCCGUA